This 389-nucleotide ribosomal RNA is filed under the name uncultured bacterium. RNAcentral describes it as "bacterial SSU rRNA". It matches the Rfam family "Bacterial small subunit ribosomal RNA", at positions 28 to 417 of the family's 1533-position model. The record is from RNAcentral.
GACGAACGCUGGCGGCGUGCUUAACACAUGCAAGUCGAGCGGUAAGGCCCUUUCGGGGGUACACGAGCGGCGAACGGGUGAGUAACACGUGGGUGACCUGCCCUCAGCUCUGGGAUAAGCCUGGGAAACUGGGUCUAAUACUGGAUAUGACUCCACGGUGCAUGUCGUGGGGUGGAAAGCCUUGUGCGGCUGAGGAUGGGGCCCGCGGCCUAUCAGCUUGUUGGUGGGGUGANGGCCUACCAAGGCGACGACGGGUAGCCGGCCUGAGAGGGCGACCGGCCACACUGGGACUGAGACACGGCCCAGACUCCUACGGGAGGCAGCAGUGGGGAAUCUUGCGCAAUGGGCGAAAGCCUGGCGCAGCGACGCCGCGUGAGGGAUGACGGCCU